GCGCACGCACACGCGCCGCACGUCUCGCACUCUCGCCACCCGCCGACGACACCGCGCAGGCCACGGAUGGAGGUGACACUCUUGAGCCAGCCGGCGGGACGCGCGGUGACCGCGUCGACAAACAGUUGGUAGAACGGCUGGACUCCGCGUUGCGUUUGGCUGGUGACGUCUCGCCAGCACCGCAAGACCACGCUCGCGCUCUUAAUCUGCUCACUACUGUGCUGCGCGGGUGCACGGGCGCGGUGGUGCGCGGGUCGGGCGGCGCGGGCGGCGCGGCGUCGUG
Long non-coding RNA from Manduca sexta (tobacco hornworm), 283 nucleotides. RefSeq lists it as uncharacterized. The transcript is spliced from 3 exons. The record is from RefSeq and is a predicted model, not a curated record. NCBI's taxonomy places the organism in Eukaryota, Metazoa, Arthropoda, Insecta, Lepidoptera, Sphingidae.